Molecule: ribosomal RNA, 700 nt
Filed under: Bacillus velezensis
Lineage: Bacteria; Bacillati; Bacillota; Bacilli; Caryophanales; Bacillaceae
Description: bacterial SSU rRNA
Source: RNAcentral
UUUGAACCGCAUGGUUCAGACAUAAAAGGUGGCUUYGGCUACCACUUACAGAUGGACCCGCGGCGCAUUAGCUAGUUGGUGAGGUAACGGCUCACCAAGGCGACGAUGCGUAGCCGACCUGAGAGGGUGAUCGGCCACACUGGGACUGAGACACGGCCCAGACUCCUACGGGAGGCAGCAGUAGGGAAUCUUCCGCAAUGGACGAAAGUCUGACGGAGCAACGCCGCGUGAGUGAUGAAGGUUUUCGGAUCGUAAAGCUCUGUUGUUAGGGAAGAACAAGUGCCGUUCAAAUAGGGCGGCACCUUGACGGUACCUAACCAGAAAGCCACGGCUAACUACGUGCCAGCAGCCGCGGUAAUACGUAGGUGGCAAGCGUUGUCCGGAAUUAUUGGGCGUAAAGGGCUCGCAGGCGGUUUCUUAAGUCUGAUGUGAAAGCCCCCGGCUCAACCGGGGAGGGUCAUUGGAAACUGGGGAACUUGAGUGCAGAAGAGGAGAGUGGAAUUCCACGUGUAGCGGUGAAAUGCGUAGAGAUGUGGAGGAACACCAGUGGCGAAGGCGACUCUCUGGUCUGUAACUGACGCUGAGGAGCGAAAGCGUGGGGAGCGAACAGGAUUAGAUACCCUGGUAGUCCACGCCGUAAACGAUGAGUGCUAAGUGUUAGGGGGUUUCCGCCCCUUAGUGCUGCAGCUAACGCAUUAAG